Molecule: ribosomal RNA, 208 nt
Filed under: uncultured bacterium
Lineage: Bacteria
Description: partial 16S ribosomal RNA
Rfam family: Bacterial small subunit ribosomal RNA
Source: RNAcentral
UGCGUAGGUGGCAGUGCAAGUCAGAUGUGAAAGGCCGGGGCUCAACCCCGGGAGCUGCAUUUGAAACUGCAUAGCUGGAGUACAGGAGAGGCAGGCGGAAUUCCUAGUGUAGCGGUGAAAUGCGUAGAUAUUAGGAGGAACACCAGUGGCGAAGGCGGCCUGCUGGACUGUUACUGACACUGAGGCACGAAAGCGUGGGGAGCAAACA